Molecule: ribosomal RNA, 1129 nt
Filed under: uncultured organism
Description: bacterial SSU rRNA
Rfam family: Bacterial small subunit ribosomal RNA
Source: RNAcentral
GAGUAAAGAUUUCGGUCGCUUUGGGAGGAGCUCGCUUACUAUCAGCUUGUUGGUAGGGUAAUGGCCUACCAAGGCUAUGACGGUUAGGGGGUGUGAGAGCAUGACCCCCAGCAUUGGCACUGAAACACUGGCCAAACACCUACGGGUGGCUGCAGUCGAGAAUCUUCCACAAUGGGGGAAACCCUGAUGGAGCGAUGCUGCGUGCGGGAUGAAGGCCUUCGGGUUGUAAACCGCUUUUGUAGGGGACGAAAUUUUUGACGGUACCCUUUCGAAUAAGAGGUUGCUAACUCUGUGCCAGCAGCAGCGGUAAUACAGAGACCUCAAGCGUUAUCCGGAUUUACUGGGCGUAAAGCGUCUGUAGGGGGUUUAUUAAGUUCCAAGUAAAAUUUCAAGGCUCAACUUUGAAUUCGCUUGGAAAACUAAUAAACUGGAGUCUAGCAGAGGUGCAUGGAACUUGUGGUGUAGGAGUGAAAUCCGUUGAUAUCACAAGGAACACCAAAGGCGAAGGCAUUGCACUGGGCUAGCACUGACCCUGAGAGACGAAAGCGUGGGGAGCAAAACGGAUUAGAUACCCGUGUAGUCCACGCCCUAAACGAUGAAUGCUAAAUGUUCGGGGAUUCGACCCCCUGGGUGUUACAGCUAACGCGUUAAGCAUUCCGCUUGGUGAAGUACGUCCGCAAGGCUAAAACUUCAAAGGAAUAGACGGGGGAUCCGCACAAGCGUUUGAGCGUCUGGUGUAAUUCGACAGUAAGCGUGGUACCUCACCAGGGUUUGACAUCCCUUGACAGCCUUGGAAACAAGGUUUCCUUCGGGCAAGGUGACAGUUUCUGCAUGGUCGUCGUCAGUUCGUGCCUUGAGGUGUUCCGUUAAGUCGGGAAACGAACGAAACCCCUAUUGCAUGUUACAAUUUCUCAUGCAAGACUGCCCGGAUAUACUGGGAGGAAGGUGGGGAUGACGUCAGAUCUGCAUGGUCCUUAUACCCUGGGCGACACAGGCGCUACAAUGGCAGAGACAAAGGGUUGCAAAACCGCAAGGUGAAGCUAAUCCCAAAAACUUUGUCUAAGUUCGGAUUGAAGGCUGCAAUUCGCCUUCAUGAAGCUGGAAUCGCUAGUAAUCGUGAAUCAGCCAC